Molecule: transfer RNA, 71 nt
Filed under: Candidatus Obscuribacterales bacterium
Lineage: Bacteria; Bacillati; Candidatus Melainabacteria; Candidatus Obscuribacterales
Description: tRNA-Gln
Rfam family: tRNA
About the family: Transfer RNA (tRNA) molecules are approximately 80 nucleotides in length. Their secondary structure includes four short double-helical elements and three loops (D, anti-codon, and T loops). Further hydrogen bonds mediate the characteristic L-shaped molecular structure. tRNAs have two regions of fundamental functional importance: the anti-codon, which is responsible for specific mRNA codon recognition, and the 3' end, to which the tRNAs corresponding amino acid is attached (by aminoacyl-tRNA synthetases). tRNAs cope with the degeneracy of the genetic code in two manners: having more than one tRNA (with a specific anti-codon) for a particular amino acid; and 'wobble' base-pairing, i.e. permitting non-standard base-pairing at the 3rd anti-codon position.
Source: RNAcentral
UCCGAGAUCGUCUAAAGGUAGGACACAACGCUUUGAACGUUGCGAUGUUGGUUCGAUUCCAGCUCUCGGAG